This 440-nucleotide ribosomal RNA is filed under the name uncultured bacterium. RNAcentral describes it as "bacterial SSU rRNA". It matches the Rfam family "Bacterial small subunit ribosomal RNA", at positions 1 to 492 of the family's 1533-position model. The record is from RNAcentral.
GAUUAGAGUUUGAUCCUGGCUCAGAACGAACGCUGGCGGCAUGCCUAACACAUGCAAGUCGAACGAAGGCUUCGGCCUUAGUGGCGCACGGGUGCGUAACGCGUGGGAAUCUGCCCCUCGGUUCGGAAUAACAGUUAGAAAUGACUGCUAAUACCGGAUGAUGACUUCGGUCCAAAGAUUUAUCGCCGAGGGAUGAGCCCGCGUAGGAUUAGGUAGUUGGUGGGGUAAAGGCCUACCAAGCCGACGAUCCUUAGCUGGUCUGAGAGGAUGAUCAGCCACACUGGGACUGAGACACGGCCCAGACUCCUACGGGAGGCAGCAGUGGGGAAUAUUGGACAAUGGGCGAAAGCCUGAUCCAGCAAUGCCGCGUGAGUGAUGAAGGCCUUAGGGUUGUAAAGCUCUUUUACCAGGGAUGAUAAUGACAGUACCUGAGAAUAGCU